CUCUCUCUCUCUCUCAAAAAUAAAUUGAAAAAAGAGUUGGAUGCUUAACCAACUGAGCCACCCAGGUGCCCCUGUUUCUUACAGUUUCUAAUCCUCAAUCUCAUUGUGUAUGGUUCUGGUUUGUUCAUUCUCAUUGCUGCAUCCCAUGAUUUAUCUAUUUUACUGUUGUUAGACAUUUGAGUUGGUUCUAAUUGUAUGAAUGUUGGGUAUGCAUCUUUUGGUGAAUAUGGGUAUACACCACGAUGUGAAAUGUCUGGGACAUAUGUACAUCCUCAGUUGUACAGGAUACUGUCAAGGAAUUUUCCAAAGGACUUGUACCCUUGACACUCCCACGAGCAGGAUUUGAAAGUUCCAGGUCCUCCACAUCCUGGCUACACGUGAUAUGUCCUGUCAUUCUUGUUUUAGCCCUUCUGGUGGAUUGAAAUGGUAUUGUAUUGUGGCUUUAAUUUGCAUUUCCCUGAUGACAGAUAAAGCUGAGCAUCAUUUUUACGUGCUUACUGGCCAUUUGGAUAUUCUCUUUUGUGAAGUUUCCAUUCAAGAUUUUACUUUGGUCCAUUUCUUCUAUUGAAUUGCCUGCCUUUUUCUUACUGAUUUCCAUUUCUUUGUUCUGGCUAUGAGUCCUUUGUUAGAUAUAUGUGUUACAAAUACUUCUCCCACUCUGUGGCUUGCCUCUGUGCUAGGUUACUUUUUAUGCGAAGGGGAAAUAAUUUUAUAACUAGCUCAGAUGUUAACAUAAUCUUUGUUGGCUGUCUUUGCCAGAUUUUAUAUAAAUCAUGUGUCAGUCUUCUUGCAAUUUUUGUCUUGAUGGAUGAUGUCAUCAUAUUAGUGUGCCUGAAGAGUAUAGGAUUUGAGAGAGAGGAAAUCUAGUGAGUUUUUGUAUUUUUGUUAAACUUUAGUUUUAUUAGGUUAUUAUUUAAGACUUGGCUAUUUUUCUUUUCCUUUGCUGUGCAAGUUAAGAUGCGUCUACGUGUGGUGUAGACACUGCGGGUUGCUUACCCUGCUUUCAUUCUCCUCUCUCUGCUAAUAGAAGCUUCAUUUGUUCAGAGCUGCAGUGUGCAUAAUUAAGCUGCUUGCUGAUUUAUGACUCUUUGAAAUUAGGGUUGGUUAUGUGACAUGUUCUGCCAGUGGCCCAUGUAGGAGAGGUCUGUUGCGUGGGAAUUCCAGGAAAGCUGUUGCUUUUCUAAGAGAAAGGAACAGACUUAGCCGGCAGACAUCUUCUGCCCGUCCUGUAUUCCUUUCUGGAAAGCGCUCCUGAGUCUCCGAGGCUUUGCCACUGUCCUGCAAUCAUGACGAUGAGACAUAGGUGCUAAAGAUAGCAGAGUUGGUCGUGGGUGGUGUCGUGGGGUCAAAGUAUAAGCCUUGGGCUGCUUUCUUAGGUUGUCCAGAGAAAGACCGAUAGGAGAUGGAGAUCUACUUAUAUUUACGCAGGCUGGAAAGUUCCAUGAUUUGCUGUCUGCAGCUAGAGACCUGGGAGAGCUGAUGGUAGAAAUUCCAGCCUGAGUCCAAAUGCUUGAGACCCUGGAAAGCCAAUGGUGUAAGUUCUAGUCUAACGAAAGGAGAAGACCAAUACCCUAGUUCAACAAGUGGGGCUGAGAGAGGGAGCAUGUGUGAGCAUGCUCCCCAUGCCUUCAACUGAUUGGACAAGGCCCACCCACACUGCGAGGAGCCAUCUGCUUUACUCAGUCCAGUGAUUCAGACAUUAAUCUCCUCCAGAAUAAUGUGUUUUUUUCCCCCCAAGUUUAUUUAUUUUGAGAGACAGUGCGCGUGCUAGAGGGGCAGAGAGAGAGAGAGGGAGACAGAGAAUCCCAAGUCGAGCGUGGAGCCUGAGGAGGGGCUCAAAGUCAUGAAACCAUGAGAUAAUGACCUGAGCUGAAACCAAGAGUCAGACACUUAACUGACUGAGCCACCCAGGUGCCUGCAUCCAGAAUAAAUGCACCCUGUGUACCAGCCACGUUGACACAGUUACGCAUCACAGCGGUCUUCCUCGUGGCCUCUUGUUUUAUGAGAGGAGUAUGGGGUAAUUUCCCAGUUCAGGGUGUUCCCACAUAUGUUGCUGAAUUCAGCCCCUAAGAAACACAGACAUUACUCAGAUUUCUUGGCUUACAAAAUCAAGACUUGUGGCAGGUAUGUGACGGUGCUCUAGGGGUGCGCCUGCCUGAGCUGCAGUAAGGUGGGGCUUUGCCACAUCCUGCUAAGACAGAAAUGCACCCGCGUACCUGUGCGUGAGUCUGUGGAUAUGGGCCCCCGGUCAUCUCAGCUGCAGAAAAGCCCUUCAUCCAACUGAUGUUAAAGGCAGUUCAGAGACCACCGGGUGCUGGAGACCUACAGGAGCGCUUCUGGCCCGGAGGGGCAAUUCUGUCACCCGGCUUAUUAGACAGAAGCAUCUAGCUCUUGUCUCUCUCUGGUGUUUAUCCCCAGGUCUUUGUUAGAGUAACAAACGGCUUUGAGAGGGAAAAGUCCUAAAUACUUGUUACUGAUGUGAAAGAUACUUGAGAAGGUACGUGCUUGUGACUUCCUUAUUUGGGGCAAAAUCAGCUUUGAUUCCCAUUAUGAGUCUGGGACUCACAUUAUGCCCACGUGGGCCUAAAAGGUACUUGUGGCUUUUUGUCCUUUAUACAGUUUUUUGAUAAUUUUCUUUAUUGUUUAUUUUUGAGAGAGAGAGCAUGAGCAGGGCCACCUAAUUGCUGAAGGAGGAAUGGUUCCGUUCGGCAGUUUUCCACGCUUGGAGAACCAGCGUCCUGCUGCCACUCGGAGAUCACGGCAUCGUAGGCUUGUGCCGCCUCUUCUGGGGCCUGAAUCCCGGCUCUGCGGGUCCCGCCAGAAUAGAAAUCUCUGCGGGCCAGGGAUUCCACACCUCUGGUUUGCUGCAGAAGUGAGGUGAGAAGGAAUGAGCGGAUGGUCCUCCAGGGGUGAUUGCAAGACUUUGGGAUGAUGCCAAGAUUUUUGCCCGAGCCCUGGACGGUUGGAGUUGCCUGUGGCUGAGCCGAGGAAGGAGACGGUGGAGCAGGUUUGGAGGGGGAAGGUCAGAGUGUGAGCUCUGGCCAUGCUAGCAUGUUAACGUUUUAUUUAUUUUUGAGACAGAGAGAGACAGAGCAUGAACGGGGCAGGGGCAGAGAGAGAGGGAGACACAGAAUCGGAAGCAGGCUCCAGGCUCUGAGCCAUCAGCCCAGAGCCCGACGCGGGGCUCGAACUCACGGACCGCGAGAUCGUGACCUGAGCUGAAGUCGGACGCUUAACCGACUGAGCCACCCAGGCGCCCCCAUGCUAGCAUGUUAGAUCAUCUCCAGGUGGAGACGUUGACAGGAAGAUGUCCAAGCUCGGGGAAUAAACACAGGUGUCGUCAGCCCCUACACGACACUUAAAACUGUGAGAGCAGAGGACAGCUCCCGGAAGAGUGGGGACGGUGAAGGGGAGAGAACAGAGCCGGGAAGGGCCGAUGCCGGGGCGCCAGGGAGAUGAAAACUACCGAGGAGGUUGGAAACCGGAGCCCCGACUGACUGUCGUGAGCAGGAAAACACGGGAGUUCGCCGUGUGCUGGCAUUCCAGAGAAGGAUGCGAGGGGACCCACUGUGUCGUGUAGCCGCAAGGGGCUGGCUCCUUGCGCCUGCGGGCCCAACUGGCUGCUGCCUCGGUGACGUGAUGUAGAUGGUGGUGACAAAGCGAGAGCUGUGGUGUGAGUGCACGGCCAACAGCAGUGCUGGUAAAGAGCCUGAGCAUCCUGCCUGCCUCCCCGAUGGGUCCUGUGCCUCCUCCACAGACCCAGGGACCACAGAGAGACUAAGGAUGGCCCAAAGCCCGGAUUGCCUCAGCGUUGGUUCCGCCAUUCUGUGGGGACAGGACCCAGGCCCGGCACAUGCUGCGUAUGGGUAACUACUUGUAAGGAACAGUGAGACACAUGCUAAUGUAGCCAGAGACUGACCUCGAACGUCUAAUCCUUUUUGGUGGUGGGAGCACAUCAUUGAGAAUAUGUCGUCUUUGUAUAAUUAACAAGGCAAUUAGAGAAAGGGAGACUUAGCCUCUACGACACAAACUGAGCUCUUCUGUAUCUAGCAAGACUGUGAGGGUAUCAGCUUUAGAUUGACUUAAAAAAAAAAAAAUCCGAGGAGGACAAAGGCACCUGAAUUACAGAUUUCCGGAGCCUGUUGAAGCACGGACCGCUUAGAAACAAAAUCUCCGAGAGGCAGCCAAGAUCUUUUCAUCUUGAAAAUGCUUUAAUAAGUGUUGACAACACUGUUUUGCAAAAUGUAAAGGUACUAUACAAAUUCUUAAUACAAAAAGAAUAAAUUAAAAGCAGAUUUCUUUUUAGUUCUGCAACUUUGUCUACAACAUACAUCCUUGUCAUUGAUUACAGUUGAACAGAAUCCGGUAAAAUCAUUUUACAUGCUCUACAGUCAGUUUCAGGAGCAACCUAAUCCUUUCUCCCCAUUAUUAAACUAGAGUCCAUUUUACACAACGUGUAAUAAACUAUUGACAUUAAUGUAUAUGUAAAACUUUACACCUAGUUAACUAAGCAGUAACUGGUCAUCUGAUAGCACCUGGAGGGGGGGUUUGCUAUAUUUAGAACUAACACUGAAUGAAAACAAAUCGGAAUUUUAACAGUUUCAACACUCACCUGCAUAUAAUAAAACAAAACAAAAAAAAUCCACCUGUCUCACAACAAAGUCUGAUGUAGGUGUUCCCAACAGUCUUCAGGCUAAACAGGCAAUUUCUUACACGUAUCCCAAGAAUCCAGUAGGGGCUUAUAUCAGACCAGGGGCUUUAUGUUCCAUCUUUGUUUUUAAAGAAAUCGGGAUCUGGGAAGAGCUUGCAAGUGCCUGUACAAAACAGCUAUUGUUUCCCACCACACUGGUCAUGAAUCAUGUCGGUCUCAAAGGACUAACAGUAUGUACAUUUUGUAGUAACUGAACGCAGCUCAACAGUAAAACCUGUUUGACUUAAUCUCCGUCUUUACUACCAGACUAUAAUGGUGUUUGUCUGAACUGGAUUUCCCUCCCACCCCGUUCCUCGCUGCCUCCUGAAUCCAAAACCCAAGCGUUGAGGAAGAAUUUUCGUCUCUCAUUCCUCGUAAACCCAACUGGGCUCAAAGCGUGACCCGAUGGACGUCAGACCAGAUUUGAAACUACGGUACGUGCUGGUCACCCCGCAGCCACGUAACCUUGUCACCUCCUCGGUUUCUCUCUUGACUUGCCCUGCUGCACACAGUUCAGUUUGAUUAUCUGUGUGUCGCUGGAGAGAAAGGAAGAUGGCCCGGUGCAGAAUAUUCUGAAUGGGGAAGGAAGAAAACCUGCGGGCUGUAGCUCUGAUCGAUCAUCAAAAUGAGGGCAACGAAAACCCCAUCCCCUCCUUCCCCACGAUCACUUCAUGCCAUUGGAACCAGUUUUGUUUCUCCUGCAGGGUUUCCCCAGAGGUUUUGUGAGGAUGUCCCUUUCUCCAGCUGUUACCACCACAGAGCUGGUGUGCACGGAGAGGGGACACCGGGCCCUCAGUUGCCCAGAGCGGUCCCAGCCUCAGUGGGACCCCCACAGUGCUUUCCAAGCUACAGCAGAAGGAGAGCACUGCCACUGAAUUCACGGUAGUGUCCAUCCUACCCUCCUGGUCUGGUAGAGUCUCUCGUUACUCGCGGAUUACACAUACAUAAAAAAAACAAAGAUUUUUCUUCUUACGCUAAAGCUAACUGUGGUUCUGUUUGCCCACAAAAUUACCCCACCCCGGCUCCUGUCCCUGGCUGUCAAAAUGCCUUUGCAAUAUAGGAAGUCAUUACAAGUGAGAAAAAGCGCCCCCUCCCCCGCCCCCCCCCCCCACCUGUGCCAGUAAGCACAGCGUACCCCCUCUGUGGAGACCGUGUUUGUGCCAUUUGGAAUAACCCAACGAAGAGUGUGCGCUCAUUAUUAUAAAAGUAUUUUUGAGGCCUUUGAAGAUAGAUGGCUUUCCGGUUGUGUAUUAAGCAGAGCUCAAAACACAUGUAAACGUGCAGCUCCCACACACCUUUUCUCUCUCUCUUUUCUUCCUCUCUUGGUGUCUGCAGACGAAUGCGGGUACAUCAAGGUAGCUGACGAGGCUGUAGGCGUACGGGCCCUCUGGGAGCCGGGACUUUCUCCCCCCCACCCCUGCUCCGCCUAAGAGACACGGGAUAAAAAUCUCAGGGCAUAGUUGGGUUCUUUGAAUAAGUGACACGUUGGUAGCCGGGUGCCAAGAGCAGUCGAAGUCGGGUCUGAGCUCUUUGUCACACAAGUGCUAACAAAUAGAAAAUGAGCCACAACGGUCAGAACACUCGAAUGGAUGGCCAUGUGCUUUUCCCUUGGUUUCCCGUAAAAAAGAAAAACGUAACACCUUGUGCAAAACAGGACACGCUUUUACUGGUGGUUUUAAUGAGAGAGAAGCGCUUGGCGAUCACCACCUUCCAUUUCCUACAGAUCCCAAAAGAAAAGCAGCUUUGUGUGGUGGGUUGGCCGGGAAGCCCCGCCCCCCCUCUCCCCCUCCCCCCCUCUCCCCCUCCCCCCCUCCCGCAGAGACCAGGCGGACCUGCUCCUCCCCGUCCACACUCCCAGGGAUCUGGGGCAGCAGCUGGGUUAGCUCUCCGGGCUCUGGCCUGAGACAGUGGGUGGGACGGUGGGGGAGAGGGACAGAGAAGGGGAAACCAUUUACGUGUGGUGGGCUUGCACUUGUGAUGAGUAGGAGCCGUUGAGAAUUUGAAAGGUUUCACUGCAGAAAGAAUGUCUUCCCCUUGGCCCCUUUUUUGUUUUUUUAUUUUUAAUUUUUUUUUUUUUUUAAAUCUUUGGCAGCAUAGAACUGAUUGUGAUCCUCGGAUGCAUCUCUGACAUGUUAAGCUUCCUUUUUCAUUCUCCCCCUCCCCCGACAGCCACUCCCCCCUCCCCCCCUCCCACCC
Prionailurus viverrinus (fishing cat) is the source of this 6886-nucleotide long non-coding RNA. RefSeq lists it as uncharacterized. Lineage: Eukaryota; Metazoa; Chordata; Mammalia; Carnivora; Felidae. The transcript has 3 exons. The record is from RefSeq and is a predicted model, not a curated record.